This 402-nucleotide ribosomal RNA is filed under the name uncultured bacterium. Its description in RNAcentral is "bacterial SSU rRNA". It matches the Rfam family "Bacterial small subunit ribosomal RNA", at positions 32 to 424 of the family's 1533-position model. The record is from RNAcentral.
AAUCAACGCUGGCGGCGUGCCUCAGACAUGCAAGUCGAACGAUUAAAGCUCUCUUCGGAGAGUGUAUAGAGUGGCGCACGGGUGAGUAACACGUAAGUAAUCUACCCUCGAGUGGGGAAUAACGUCCGGAAACGGACGCUAAUACCGCAUAAUGCAGCGGCACCGCAAGGUGACAGUUGUUAAAGGAGAAAUUCGCUUGAGGAGGAGCUUGCGGCAGAUUAGCUUGUUGGUAAGGUAACGGCUUACCAAGGCUACGAUCUGUAACCGGUCUUAGAGGACGGUCGGUCACACUGACACUGAAUAACGGGUCAGACUCCUACGGGAGGCAGCAGUCGGGAAUUUUGGGCAAUGGGCGAAAGCCUGACCCAGCAACGCCGCGUGAAGGAUGAAGUAUUUCGGUAU